AUAUGGAGCUUGACUUGGAAAUACAGAACAUGUAAAAUGCAGGUUUCCCAGGGUGAGGUUCAUCCAUUGCACUCUGGGUGUCUUGACCCCUGCGAUUUCCCCAAAUGUGGGACUACAUAAUUUGUUGGCAUUCAAUAAGUAUUUUACUGCC
This 151-nucleotide small nuclear RNA is filed under the name Pogona vitticeps (central bearded dragon). RNAcentral describes it as "U1 spliceosomal RNA (ENSPVIG00000025568.1)". The record is from RNAcentral. Lineage: Eukaryota; Metazoa; Chordata; Lepidosauria; Squamata; Agamidae.